Molecule: ribosomal RNA, 253 nt
Filed under: uncultured bacterium
Lineage: Bacteria
Description: partial 16S ribosomal RNA
Rfam family: Bacterial small subunit ribosomal RNA
Source: RNAcentral
UACGUAGGGUGCAAGCGUUGUCCGGAAUCAUUGGGCGUAAAGGGCGUGUAGGCGGCCCGGUAAGUCCGCUGUGAAAGUCCAGGGCUCAACCCUGGAAUGCCGGUUGAUACUGUCGGGCUCGAGUCCGGAAGAGGCGAGUGGAAUUCCUGGUGUAGCGGUGAAAUGCGCAGAUAUCAGGAGGAACACCGAUGGCGAAGGCAGCUCGCUGGGACGGUACUGACGCUGAGGCGCGAAAGCGUGGGGAGCAAACAGG